CAUACAUUGACACAAAUGCAAACUAAAAUUUGUUUGCGUUUGGGUGAAUGUAUGUAGCCAAACUGUCUAUUGUCUUUAUGCUGGAAAGCACUUUAAAUGUGCUACAGAAAUAAAAA
This is a long non-coding RNA of Sinocyclocheilus rhinocerous, 116 nucleotides long. RefSeq lists it as uncharacterized. NCBI's taxonomy places the organism in Eukaryota, Metazoa, Chordata, Actinopteri, Cypriniformes, Cyprinidae. The record is from RefSeq and is a predicted model, not a curated record. The transcript has 3 exons.